RNAcentral lists this transfer RNA (76 nucleotides) under Dermabacteraceae bacterium TAE3-ERU5. RNAcentral describes it as "tRNA-Leu". It matches the Rfam family "tRNA". Rfam says of the family: Transfer RNA (tRNA) molecules are approximately 80 nucleotides in length. Their secondary structure includes four short double-helical elements and three loops (D, anti-codon, and T loops). The record is from RNAcentral. RNAcentral also lists the same sequence under 18 other names. Lineage: Bacteria; Bacillati; Actinomycetota; Actinomycetes; Micrococcales; Dermabacteraceae.
GCCCCUCUAGCCCAACGGUAGAGGCAGAGGACUUAAAAUCCUUGUGUUCCGGGUUCGAAUCCCGGGAGGGGUACCA